CCCUUUGAUACUCUGGGCGGCACGCGCGCUACAAUGGAUAACUUAACGUGCUACAUGUCCGAAAGGAUGUAUGCAAAUCACAAAUGUUAUGUCUCGAGUGGGAUAGUUUACUGCAAUUAUAGACUUGAACUAGGAAUCCCUUGUAGGUACACUGAAGCAUAGUGUACCGAAUACGUCCCUGCCGUUUGUACACACCGCCCGUCGUUUCUUCCGACUGAUACUCAUUGUGAAUUGCGGGGAUAACGUUGUUGAAAACCGUUGUAAAUGCUGGGUAUUGGAGGAAGAAAAAGUCGUAACA
This 298-nucleotide ribosomal RNA is filed under the name uncultured eukaryote. RNAcentral describes it as "partial 18S ribosomal RNA". It matches the Rfam family "Eukaryotic small subunit ribosomal RNA", at positions 1470 to 1796 of the family's 1831-position model. The record is from RNAcentral.